RNAcentral lists this transfer RNA (84 nucleotides) under Chloroflexota bacterium. Its description in RNAcentral is "tRNA-Leu". It matches the Rfam family "tRNA". Rfam says of the family: Transfer RNA (tRNA) molecules are approximately 80 nucleotides in length. Their secondary structure includes four short double-helical elements and three loops (D, anti-codon, and T loops). Lineage: Bacteria; Bacillati; Chloroflexota. The record is from RNAcentral.
GGGCGAGUGGCGAAAUAGGCAGACGCGCCAGCUUUAGGAGCUUGUGCUCGAAAGAGCGUGAGGGUUCGACUCCCUCCUCGCCCA